CUAUUUUACUACGAAAUUAUUACUAACAAUUAUAUUAUUUAUUCACUUAUUGAGAAACUAAUCACAGAAUUUGAUGAGUUAAUGAAUAAGAAUCUAAUAAAUCAAUGAAGAACUAGUAAUGGAAACUAACUUCUCUUUACUUUCCUUUUAGGGCUAUAGUCAAUAUAUUACUCCACUUCCCAAGAAAAGUUGGCAAGGAUAGGCCAUGUUAUUUUCAGUUUCCUUUUAUUCUGGAAGUGGGCAAAUCAAGCGAUGCAGAACCAAUUACACUGAACGAUUUGUUGUUUUUGUCAGCUCUAUACACUUUUGCACAUUGUCACAAGUGAUUUUAUUUUUCUGCAGUUAUAAGAAAAAGAAAUGCGCGUGGAAGGGAUCUAAAUGGAUGCCCUUUGUUUCUGAUGUGCCAUGUUCCUUUAUGAAGUGACAAGUUGGAAUAAACCUAAUCACCACUAAUAGCAAAGAUUUUACUAAUUAAACCCACGAGGAAACUUUGUAUAAGGAACUAUCUUUGCCUUAGUAUGAAACAGUCUUCAUUUCUUAUCUAGCCAAUUGCAUAACAAAUCCUGUCCUCUUUACUCCUCCAGUGAUGAGCAUGGUGAUGGAUUUAUUGCUCCCAUCCAAGUGAGCCUUGACUUGUUCUUCAUUUUCAUAAGAAAACAACAUUGGCUGUCUUUUCUGCUGAUUUGACUUUUGAAAUGAGGAACAGAAUGUCCUCAUAAAGAUCACCGGGUAUCUUUGAUUCUGGUCAACAAAAGUUAUUAGUUUCUCAUUUCCAUAACUACCUACUGCUAUCUUCAUCUUUUAAGAUAAACAUGUAAGAAUCGAAGUUGAGUUAACCUGUAACUGCCUCCCAA
This 854-nucleotide long non-coding RNA is filed under the name Fukomys damarensis (Damara mole-rat). RNAcentral's name for it is "lncRNA (ENSFDAG00000024630.1)". The record is from RNAcentral. Lineage: Eukaryota; Metazoa; Chordata; Mammalia; Rodentia; Bathyergidae.